RNAcentral lists this small RNA (2500 nucleotides) under Pan troglodytes (chimpanzee). RNAcentral describes it as "retained intron". Lineage: Eukaryota; Metazoa; Chordata; Mammalia; Primates; Hominidae. The record is from RNAcentral.
GUAGGUUUUUUUGACCGUCGCUCGUGUCAGCUUCAAAGUCAGAUAGAUUUUUCUCCCAGCAUGUUCUACUUCCGAGGCUGUGGCCGUUGGGUCGCGGCUUCUUUCACCAAGCAGCAAUUUCCGUUGGCACGGUUGAGCAGUGACAGCGCGGCGCCCCGGACUCCGCACUUCGACGUGAUAGUCAUUGGUGGAGGACAUGCCGGGACUGAGGCAGCCACCGCCGCUGCUCGGUGCGGCUCUCGGACUCUGCUCCUCACUCACCGCGUGGACACGAUCGGUCAGAUGUCAUGUAAUCCUUCCUUUGGUGGCAUCGGAAAGGGACAUUUAAUGAGGGAAGUAGAUGCCUUGGAUGGCCUGUGUUCUCGCAUCUGUGACCAGUCUGGUGUACAUUAUAAAGUAUUAAACCGGCGUAAGGGACCAGCUGUGUGGGGUCUGAGAGCUCAGAUUGAUAGGAAACUCUAUAAACAGAACAUGCAGGUAAGAAUAGGGCAUGAGCACAGGAAAGAUUAUGGUGAUUGUUUAAUUACCAUGUUUCAACUGGCAUUUUCUUUUGACAGAAAGAAAUCUUGAAUACACCACUGCUUACUGUUCAGGAGGGAGCUGUAGAAGAUCUUAUUCUUACAGAACCAGAGCCUGAACACACUGGGAAAUGCCGUGUCAGUGGGGUUGUUUUGGCCAGAAGAUCAGCUGCCAUGUUACUUGACUCACACCAACCCUAGAGUGGAUGAGAUUGUCCUUAAGAACCUUCACCUUAAUAGUCAUGUUAAAGAAACGACAAGAGGACCUCGAUACUGUCCCUCCAUUGAAUCAAAAGUUUUGCGUUUUCCAAACCGUCUACAUCAGGUUUGGUUGGAACCUGAAGGAAUGGAUUCUGACCUUAUCUACCCACAGGGGUUAUCUAUGACGCUACCAGCUGAGUUACAAGAGAAAAUGAUCACAUGCAUCAGAGGCUUGGAGAAAGCUAAAGUGAUUCAGCCAGGUAAAGAGGAUCACAAGUGCCCUUCAGUAUAAGGUCAGCAUUGUUUUAAUGGUCAGUGAGGAGGCCUUAGCUACAGUCAUUGUUGUUCAGAGCCUCAGAAGAUGAAGCCCAACACCUAUACAUUUUAAAUAGUCUGUUUUUUGUUUGUUUGUUUGUUUGUUUGUUUUGAGACGGAGUUUUGCUCUUGUUGCCCAGGAUGGAGUGCAAUGGUGCGAUCUCGGCUCACCACAACCUCCCCCUGCCAGGCUACGGUGUUCAGUAUGAUUACUUAGAUCCCCGUCAGAUCACUCCUUCCCUGGAGACUCAUUUGGUUCAACGACUCUUCUUUGCUGGACAGAUCAAUGGCACCACUGGUUAUGAGGAAGCUGCAGCUCAAUGCUCUUGUAGGGUGUGAUAGCUGGAAUCAACGCCAGUCUUCGGGUCAGUCGCAAGCCUCCCUUUGUGGUUAGCCGAACAGAAGGUUACAUAGGAGUCUUGAUUGAUGACCUCACUACUCUGGGCACCAGUGAACCAUACCGCAUGUUUACCAGCCGAGUAGAGUUCCGUUUGUCACUGCGCCCUGAUAAUGCUGACAGCCGGCUCACACUGCGAGGGUAUAAAGACGCUGGCUGUGUGUCCCAACAACGAUAUGAAAGAGCUUGUUGGAUGAAGUCUUCUUUAGAAGAAGGCAUUUCUGUGUUGAAAUCUAUUGAGUUUUUGAGCUCUAAAUGGAAAAAAUUAAUCCCAGAGGCUUCUAUAAGUACUAGUAGAAGUCUGCCUGUCAGAGCUCUCGAUGUUCUGAAGUAUGAGGAAGUUGACAUGGAUUCAUUAGCCAAGGCUGUUCCAGAGCCCUUGAAGAAGUAUACUAAAUGUAGAGAGCUGGCUGAAAGACUGAAAAUAGAAGCCACUUAUGAAUCAGUGUUGUUCCAUCAACUACAAGAAAUAAAGGGAGUUCAGCAAGAUGAAGCUCUCCAACUGCCAAAAGACCUAGAUUAUUUGACUAUCAGGGAUGUGUCUUUGUCCCAUGAAGUUCGAGAGAAACUACAUUUUAGUCGUCCACAGACGAUCGGGGCUGCUAGUCGCAUACCCGGAGUAACACCUGCUGCCAUCAUCAAUCUGCUGAGAUUUGUGAAGACCACUCAACAAAGACAGGCGGCUAUGAAUGAAUCAUCCAAGACUGAUCAAUACUUAUGUGAUGCAGACAGACUUCAAGAGAGAGAGUUAUAGCUUUCAAUUCAUAAAAGAUUUUUAAAGAGCAUAUAAAUAAUUUGAUCAAUACAACAGUAUAGAUAAAAGAAUUAUUUAGCACAUGUUAAAAUAGCUUUAUUAGGUUACUGUGGGUUUGCCAUUAAUUUCUGAGUGGGACAGAAAUUAUAAUUGUGCUUUUUCGUGUAUAUGAAAAAACUAGUCGUAAACAAUUUGUACUCUUUCUUUAAGGAGCUGUAAUACAAAUAACUUUGUGCAGUGUUCAUCAAAGAGAGAGACAGUGAACCUAAAACUGAACCUGGAAUAAAACUCAACAUGCAGAUUUGCCUACUCAUA